RNAcentral lists this ribosomal RNA (421 nucleotides) under uncultured bacterium. RNAcentral describes it as "bacterial SSU rRNA". It matches the Rfam family "Bacterial small subunit ribosomal RNA", at positions 355 to 774 of the family's 1533-position model. The record is from RNAcentral.
UGAGGAAUAUUGGGCAAUGCCCGCAAGGGUGACCCAGCAACGCCGCGUGGAGGAUGAAUGUCGUAAGAUUGUAAACUCCUGUUAGAGGGGAAGAAUAACUAAGUUUGGAGCUUAGUAUGACUGUACCCUCAGAGAAAGCCCCGGCUAACUACGUGCCAGCAGCCGCGGUAAUACGUAGGGGGCAAGCGUUGUCCGGAUUUACUGGGUGUAAAGGGCGCGCGGCGGAAUGGAAAGUCAGUGGUGAAAUCCUACAGCUUAACUGUAGAACUGCCUUUGAUACUUUCAUUCUUGAGUUCGGGAGAGAGAGACGGAAUUCCAGGUGUAGUGGUGAAAUACGUAGAUAUCUGGAAGAACACCAGUUGCGAAGGCGGUCUCUUGGUCCGAUACUGACGCUGAGGCGCGAAAGCGUGGGGAGCAAACA